AAAUUAUUGCAAACAAACUAUGAUGAAAAGGAAAUGGAAAUAAUGAUUUAUUGUGCUGCAGCUUGCAUAUAUAAACCUUCAAUCUCUCGCCCAAAGAUGAAUCAGAUAGUUCGAGCACUUGNNNNNNNNNNNAAGGAAUAUGGAAUGAGAAGAAUGACAGCAUAUUCCUGAAAAAUAACCCGACGCCUAAUGUAUCUGAUAGAGUUGAGCCUAAUGGAUCUGAUAAUGAGCC
RNAcentral lists this unclassified non-coding RNA (232 nucleotides) under Hevea brasiliensis (rubber tree). The record is from RNAcentral. Lineage: Eukaryota; Viridiplantae; Streptophyta; Magnoliopsida; Malpighiales; Euphorbiaceae.